This 401-nucleotide ribosomal RNA is filed under the name Bacillus sp. (in: firmicutes). RNAcentral describes it as "bacterial SSU rRNA". It matches the Rfam family "Bacterial small subunit ribosomal RNA", at positions 754 to 1153 of the family's 1533-position model. Lineage: Bacteria; Bacillati; Bacillota; Bacilli; Caryophanales; Bacillaceae. The record is from RNAcentral.
CGAGAGCGUGAGGUGCAAACAGGCAUAGAUACCCUGGUAGUACACGACGUAAAUCGAUGAGUGCUACAGUGUUAGACGGUUUCCUCCUCUUCGCGCAGAAGUCAACAGCAUUCAGCGCUCCUCCUGGGGAGAGCGGCCGCAUGUCUCAUCAUCAAUAGAAAUGCCGGUGCGCGCACAAGCGGUGGAGCAUUUGGGAUAACGCGAAGCAACGCGAUGUUCCCGCGCAGGUCUGGACAUAGUGUGAAAACCCUAGAGAUAGGGCUUCUCCUUCGGGAGCAGAGUGACAGAUGGUGCAUGGUUGUCGUCAGCCAACAGAGUGAGAUGUUGGGAAAAGUUUCGUCACGAGCGCGGCGCUGGUUCUUCAGAGUCUUCUCCAAUUUGGAAGAUUUAAUACUGCUGCC